This 253-nucleotide ribosomal RNA is filed under the name uncultured bacterium. Its description in RNAcentral is "partial 16S ribosomal RNA". It matches the Rfam family "Bacterial small subunit ribosomal RNA", at positions 524 to 776 of the family's 1533-position model. The record is from RNAcentral.
UACGAAGGGGGCUAGCGUUGCUCGGAAUCACUGGGCGUAAAGCGCACGUAGGCGGACUCUUAAGUCGGUGGUGAAAUCCUGGAGCUCAACUCCAGAACUGCCUUCGAUACUGAGAGUCUCGAGUCCGGGAGAGGUGAGUGGAACUGCGAGUGUAGAGGUGAAAUUCGUAGAUAUUCGCAAGAACACCAGUGGCGAAGGCGGCUACCUGGCCCACUCUUGACGCUGAGGCGCGAAAGCUAGGGGAGCAAACGGG